This is a long non-coding RNA of Dreissena polymorpha, 977 nucleotides long. RefSeq lists it as uncharacterized. The transcript has 3 exons. Lineage: Eukaryota; Metazoa; Mollusca; Bivalvia; Myida; Dreissenidae. The record is from RefSeq and is a predicted model, not a curated record.
GGUACCGUGAGAUGUGGUAUUUCUGCUGUUGAUAUCUAAGAUGGUUAAAGAUAAUGUCAAAGUAAGUUGGAUCUCGAUCAAUUAGACUAGAGUACUUGAUGUUGGUGUGUUCAAUGGUGGGUUUUGUGGUAAUAAAUAAUUUUCCUCCAACAUUUAUUUCAAUCAAUUCAAUUUUCUCUGGGUUGAUUACUUCAAUUUGUUGCGGAGUGAAUUUUGGUUGAUCUUUUCUGGUUCCAGGACUGCAACAUUUCGUUCUUUCACGAUGGAAGAAAUUGAGGAUUCUGCGGAGGAAGAUCUCUUGUCCGAUGACGCACUGGAAGAACUAAGAGACAGGCUCUUCUUGGCCCGCUUCCCGUUGUCCUCAUUUGCUUGAAGUUCUGUCAGGCGUUUUCCCGAAAAAACAGGAGCUGGUUUAGUGGCGAUUCGCCGCGUGGCAUCAUGGUCCUCUGGCCUCUUGACAUCUCUCUGGAUGUUUUCAGUGCGUCUUAUCAGUGAACGGACCUUCAGCUUAAACUCGCUUAGGACUUUUUCCGCCUCCGCUCCACGUGCGCCCGUCGUCUGUACAAACCUAAUAUAGUCCUCUUUUUGAUUGUGGCACGGACCACUGCCAGGCGUGUUUCGGUGGAAGACCUUACAACACCGAACACAUUUCCAAGAGACCCCGGAAUGCUGCUCAACCACAUGGUUGUAACAUUUCAAUCAUACGUGUUGGGAAUGUGAUAUCCCCACAAACGAGGCAGUCUAUUUUCAGAACCUGAAGGAUGACCAAAAACAAGAUCAAUGGGCAAUCUCAUGUCGUCACCGAACAUCAUUUUAUAUGGGGUGUGACCAGUAGCAGAGUGAACAGAUGACCUGUAUGCCAUCAAGCAGAAAGAGCGAUUCAAUGAUGCGCGACGGGAACGAUCCCACCAAGCAUGACCGGACACAAUAGCAGAAGAUUUUGAUUUUCAUUGUCAUAAUAAAUAAACAACAAAAUG